AUAUUGGACAAUGGGGGAAACCCUGAUCCAGCAAUGCCGCGUGAGUGAUGAAGGCCUUAGGGUUGUAAAGCUCUUUCGGUGGUGACGAUGAUGACGGUAACCACAGAAGAAGCCCCGGCUAACUCCGUGCCAGCAGCCGCGGUAAGACGGAGGGGGCUAGCGUUGUUCGGAAUUACUGGGCGUAAAGCGCACGUAGGCGGCCUUUCGAGUCAGACGUGAAAGCCCCGGGCUUAACCCGGGAAUUGCGUUUGAUACUGUUGGGCUUGAGACCGGGAGAGGAUAGCGGAAUUCCCAGUGUAGAGGUGAAAUUCGUAGAUAUUGGGAAGAACACCAGUGGCGAAGGCGGCUAUCUGGACCGGUACUGACGCUGAGGUGCGAAAGCGUGGGGAGCAAACAGG
Molecule: ribosomal RNA, 398 nt
Filed under: uncultured bacterium
Lineage: Bacteria
Description: bacterial SSU rRNA
Rfam family: Bacterial small subunit ribosomal RNA
Source: RNAcentral